GCACUCCUGGGCUGGUAUUGGCCUGGAGGAAAGCGUCACCAGAGCAGAGCUGGGAAGCCCCCGCAGUGUGGAUCCAGCCAGCGGCUGAACACUGAGAAAGAAUGGGUACUUGGAAUGUCCGGACAACAGAAACAUGACAGGUGGGCUGUUAAGACAUCCAGUCUACUCCGCCCGGGAGAAAAGAAGUCUAAAGAUAGGUAAAUGGGAAAAUAAUAAGUGGCCAUCGGAAAGAAUUAUUGGGUACUAUGGGCCGACCACAUGGGCAGAGAAUGGCUCAUGGGGACACCAGUCUCCUACCUAUAUGCUCAAUCAGAUCAUCCGGUUGCAGGCAGCCUUGGAAAUACUUGUCAAUGAAAUGGGCAAAGCUCUGUGCAUUUUGGCCAGACAAGAAACUCUAAUGAGAAAUGUGGUUUAUUAGAACCGGCUGGCCAUAGAUUAUUUGCUAGCAGCUUAAGGAGGAGUCUUUAAAAAAUUUAAACUAACUGACUGCUGCCUACACAUAGACAACCAGGCUCAUGCAGUUAAGAACAUAACCAAACUAGCACACGUACCUGGGCAGGUAUGGCACAAAUUCAACCCUGAGUUCUUGUUUAAAGGUUGGUCCUCAGACUUGGGAGAAUUAAAAACCCUCAUCAUAAGUGUGGUAACAAUAGUAGGUGUUUGUUUGCUACUCCCCCAUUUUC
This is a long non-coding RNA of Sapajus apella (tufted capuchin), 683 nucleotides long. RefSeq lists it as uncharacterized. The transcript is spliced from 3 exons. Lineage: Eukaryota; Metazoa; Chordata; Mammalia; Primates; Cebidae. The record is from RefSeq and is a predicted model, not a curated record.